This 421-nucleotide ribosomal RNA is filed under the name uncultured bacterium. RNAcentral describes it as "bacterial SSU rRNA". It matches the Rfam family "Bacterial small subunit ribosomal RNA", at positions 355 to 774 of the family's 1533-position model. The record is from RNAcentral.
UGGGGAAUAUUGCACAAUGGGCGCAAGCCUGAUGCAGCGACGCCGCGUGGGGGAUGACGGCCUUCGGGUUGUAAACCUCUUUCAGUAUCGGCGAAGCUUGCGGGUUUUCUCGCAGGUGACGGUAGGUACAGAAGAAGCACCGGCCAACUACGUGCCAGCAGCCGCGGUAAUACGUAGGGUGCGAGCGUUGUCCGGAAUUACUGGGCGUAAAGAGCUCGUAGGUGGUUUGUCGCGUUGUCCGUGAAAACUCACAGCUCAACUGUGGGCGUGCGGGCGAUACGGGCAGACUGGAGUACUGUAGGGGAGACUGGAAUUCCUGGUGUAGCGGUGGAAUGCGCAGAUAUCAGGAGGAACACCGGUGGCGAAGGCGGGUCUCUGGGCAGUAACUGACGCUGGGGAGCGAAAGCGUGGGGAGCGAACA